Molecule: long non-coding RNA, 1078 nt
Organism: Poeciliopsis prolifica (blackstripe livebearer)
Lineage: Eukaryota; Metazoa; Chordata; Actinopteri; Cyprinodontiformes; Poeciliidae
Exons: 7
Source: RefSeq, a predicted model, not a curated record
GUGUGAGAUGUAUUAGAAUGUGUUUGGUUUUUUUGCUACCAAACAGUAGGAAACAGGAAGUAGACGUGCCAGUUGCAGACAUUUCCUGCCGCGAUAACUCACGCCUUACUGAAAUGAAAUAUGGUGGUCUAAGCACUUCUUCCCUGACAGCGUAAUGCAUUCAGUCUGUCUGUGGAGGCACUUUACCUGGCAGCCAGGGAAUUCUAGCUGCACUGUUCAAUUCAGAGGUGAAUAGAGGUGAAGCAUUGAUGAAGCAGAAAAACAGCUCCAAAUAUAGAAUGUUGACUCAUCUGUUUCCUGAGCUUCUUGCAGCAGCUCUAACAGGCUGGUCGCCUCUUCUAAGUUAUGGUUUACCUUAGAUGUACCAGGGAUUUUUGAGUGGAUCCACAGGAGGAGAACAAUAACCUGAAGUGAACACAGCAUAUUGCUGGAGGGGAAAAGAGGAUUUGAGUUUGCAGCUCAUCAGCAGGUCGGAGUCAAAACUGCAGCUGGACAUUUCUCUGGCAUAACACAGUAAAGUCGUGCAACUUGAGCAUCAUGUGGCGAUGAGUCGACCACAAUCACCUCUGUGUUCUAAGGAAUUCUCCAGGUGGUUGUCGAGACAGCUGUCUGACAGUGACACAGGACAAGGUUCCGAACCCCAUUGGUCAACGGACAUGAGGCAGGCAUACUCUGCACAAUGCAUUGAAAAUUGUAAAUUGCUCAAGAGUACUUUGACAUGUGGCGGGAAGAAGCUGGAAUCAAACCUACAAUCUUCCAAUCACAAGACGACUACCCACAGAGCCGCAGUCGCCCAGAUCCAGUUCCAGCACAGUUCAUCGUAACAAUGUAGGACCUGAUGACUGCAAUAUUUUUAUUCCAAUGCCAAAAUUACAAACACCUUAAGGAGUUUAAAAUAAUUUUUUUGAAUUUGUUUCAAAUAUUCAGUGCAAAUCUCAACUAAUUACAUAAAUGUGUGUGAUAAUUGUGACAAAUGUCGCUGUGGUCACCACAUUCAUUGUUAGGAUGCCUCUGGUUGUGGCUGUCAAAACAAGGACAUCUUUCAUGGUGUUGUUGCCCCUACUUACAGCAUACUUAA